UUCCGGUUGAUCCUGCCGGAGGUUACUGCUAUCGGUGUUCGCCUAAGCCAUGCGAGUCAUAUGUUCUUCGUGAACAUGGCGUACUGCUCAGUAACACGUGGAUAACCUGCCCUUGGGUCCGGCAUAACCCCGGGAAACUGGGGAUAAUUCCGGAUAACGCACAUAUGCUGGAAUGCUUUAUGCGUAAAAUGGAUUCGUCUGCCCAAGGAUGGGUCUGCGGCCUAUCAGGUAGUAGUGGGUGUAAUGUACCUACUAGCCAACAACGGGUACGGGUUGUGAGAGCAAGAGCCCGGAGAUGGAUUCUGAGACAUGAAUCCAGGCCCUACGGGGCGCAGCAGGCGCGAAAACUUUACAAUGCGGGAAACCGUGAUAAGGGGACACCGAGUGCCAGCAUCAUAUGCUGGCUGUCCGGGUGUGUAAAAUACACCCGUUAGCAAGGGCCGGGCAAGACCGGUGCCAGCCGCCGCGGUAACACCGGCGGCCCGAGUGGUGAUCGUGAUUAUUGGGUCUAAAGGGUCCGUAGCCGGUUUGGUCAGUCCUCCGGGAAAUCUGAUGGCUCAACCAUUAGGCUUUCGGGGGAUACUGCCAGGCUUGGAACCGGGAGAGGUAAGAGGUACUACAGGGGUAGGAGUGAAAUCUUGUAAUCCCUGUGGGACCACCUGUGGCGAAGGCGUCUUACCAGAACGGGUUCGACGGUGAGGGACGAAAGCUGGGGGCACGAACCGGAUUAGAUACCCGGGUAGUCCCAGCCGUAAACGAUGCUCGCUAGGUGUCAGGCAUGGCGCGACCGUGUCUGGUGCCGCAGGGAAGCCGUGAAGCGAGCCACCUGGGAAGUACGGCCGCAAGGCUG
RNAcentral lists this ribosomal RNA (850 nucleotides) under Methanosarcina sp. enrichment culture clone MGAHR. RNAcentral describes it as "bacterial SSU rRNA". It matches the Rfam family "Archaeal small subunit ribosomal RNA", at positions 1 to 851 of the family's 1478-position model. The record is from RNAcentral. Lineage: Archaea; Methanobacteriati; Methanobacteriota; Methanomicrobia; Methanosarcinales; Methanosarcinaceae.